ACAGGAUUCCCCUAGUAACGGCGAGUGAAGCGGGAAGAGCUCAAGCUUAAAAUCUCCGUGCAAGUUUUGCGCGGCGAAUUGUAGUCUAUAGAGGCGUGGUCAGCGUGGGCGCUUGGGGCAAGUUCCUUGGAAGAGGACAGCAUGGAGGGUGAUACUCCCGUUCAUCCCUGAGUGGCUCGUGCGUACGACCCGUGUUCUUUGAGUCGCGUUGUUUGGGAAUGCAGCGCAAAGUAGGUGGUAAAUUCCAUCUAAAGCUAAAUAUUGGUGCGAGACCGAUAGCGAACAAGUACCGUGAGGGAAAGAUGAAAAGAACUUUGAAAAGAGAGUUAAAGAGUACCUGAAACUGCUGAAAGGGAACCGAAUCGUUUCCAGUGUCUAUAAUCCGUGGCAUAUUUCAUUGGCGAGUGUGCGCGUGCGUGUGCUGUGGCAGCGGCCUUUUUGGCUGCGCUCGGUGCGUGUGCUGUGUGUGCUUGCUGGUGCCCUGUGCUGCGGUGGGACGUCAAGGUCAGUUCGUAUGCUGCGGGAAAUGGCUGCCGAGGAGGUAGGGCUUACGCUCCGCGUUUGUCUGUUAUAUCUUGGUGGACGAGUCGUCGCGGUUGGGACUGAGGUGCCUACAACGUGCUUUUGAGUGGGUCUGUGUCUCCGUGUGCGCCGUGUGCGGAUAGCUUGCUAUGCGUGUGUGGUUGUGUGUGGAUUGAUGCGGGCCUUAACUUGUCGCCGUUCGGGACGUUGACGAAAUGGAGCGAUCCGACCCGUCUUGAAACACGGACCAAGGAGUCUAACAUGUGUGCAAGUGUUAGGGUGUGGAAACCCCAGCGCGAAAUGAAAGUGAAGGGCAGCGCAAGUUGUCUGAGGUAGGAAACGUUGCGGGCUUCGGUCUGCGGCGUGGCACUAUCGACCGAUCAUGAACCUUCGUGGUGAAAGAUUUGAGUUUGAGCACAUAUGUUGGUACCCGAAAGAUGGUGAACUAUGCCUGAGUAGGGUGAAGCCAGGGAAACUCU
This 1001-nucleotide ribosomal RNA is filed under the name Phytophthora fragariae. Its description in RNAcentral is "LSU rRNA". It matches the Rfam family "Eukaryotic large subunit ribosomal RNA", at positions 69 to 865 of the family's 3401-position model. Lineage: Eukaryota; Oomycota; Peronosporomycetes; Peronosporales; Peronosporaceae. The record is from RNAcentral.